This 484-nucleotide ribosomal RNA is filed under the name uncultured bacterium. Its description in RNAcentral is "partial 16S ribosomal RNA". It matches the Rfam family "Bacterial small subunit ribosomal RNA", at positions 30 to 507 of the family's 1533-position model. The record is from RNAcentral.
AUUGAACGCUGGCGGCAGGCCUAACACAUGCAAGUCGAGCGGAUGAAGAGAGCUUUCCCCUUCUGUCAGCGGCGCACGGGGGUGUAUUACCCAUGAGUCUCCCUGCUAGUAGGGGAUGACGACCGUUAGAGAGCGCUACUACCUCCUACGUACUACAGUUAAAACUGGGUUAUCUUCUGAACUCACGCUCUCAGCCUCUCCUAGAUCGGAUUAGCUAGUGGGUGGGGUAAAGGCCUACCAAGGCGAACAUCCGUAACUGGUCUGAGAGGAUGAUCGGCCACAUUGGAACUGGGACACGGUCCAGACUCCUACGGGAGGCAGAAGUGGGGAAUGUUGGACAAUGGGCGAAAGCCUGAUGCAGCCAGGCCGCGUGUGUGAAGAAGGUCUUCGGAUGGUAAAGCACUUUGAGUGGGGAGGAAGAGCAGUAAGUUGAAACCUUGCUGUUUUGACGGUACCAAAAGAAUAAGCAACGGCUAACUACGUG